Molecule: long non-coding RNA, 368 nt
Filed under: Homo sapiens (human)
Lineage: Eukaryota; Metazoa; Chordata; Mammalia; Primates; Hominidae
Description: HSALNT0030950
Source: RNAcentral
GGCCGCUUGGGCGUGAUCCCUUGGCUGGGGCUGCAGGGGGCCCGUCCUCCAGGGGCGCAGAGGGAAGGACCAGCGUUUCCAAGCCGGGCUCUGGCCGCCGGCGCGAGAGCGAGGCCAAGGUCUGGGGGCAGUUCAGGGGGACCCCGAAGUCGGGACGGCCCAGAAACGCUUUGCCCACAGCCACCGCCCUUUCCUUUGUCUCUCCAGGAGGAGCCCCACAUUGAAUCACUGCAACCUCUUGUGGACUAUUUUAUCAAAUGCUUUGGCAGGACCAGAGCAGCCUGGACUCUCAGGGAACCUGGCUUGGAGAGUGCGUGCUGGAAGAAGGGAGAAGGAUGAAGAAAUGGGAAGUGAAACUUUCCAGAGGU